RNAcentral lists this ribosomal RNA (374 nucleotides) under uncultured bacterium. Its description in RNAcentral is "bacterial SSU rRNA". It matches the Rfam family "Bacterial small subunit ribosomal RNA", at positions 216 to 604 of the family's 1533-position model. The record is from RNAcentral.
CACUGAAGGAUGGACUCGCGUCCGAUUAGGUAGUUGGUGAGGUAACGGCCCACCAAGCCCACGAUCGGUAACCGGACUGAGAGGUUGAUCGACCACAUUGGGACUGAGACACGGCCCAGACUCCUACGGGAGGCAGCAGUGGGGGAUAUUGCACAAUGGAGGAAACUCUGAUGCAGCGACGCCGCGUGAGGGAAGAAGGUCUUCGGAUUGUAAACCUCUGUCUUUGGGGACGAAACAAAUGACGGUACCCAAAGAGGAAGCCACGGCUAACUACGUGCCAGCAGCCGCGGUAAUACGUAGGUGGCGAGCGUUGUCCGGAUUUACUGGGUGUAAAGGGUGCGCAGGCGGGUUAUCAAGUUGGGUGUGAAAUCUCU